CAGUUGACGGGGCCGCACAAGCGGUGGAGUAUGUGGUUUAAUUCGAUGCAACGCGAAGAACCUUACCUGGUCUUGACAUCCCGGAGACCCUUAGGAAACUAGGGGUGCUUCCAUCUGGAAGAAUCUGGAGACAGGUGCUGCAUGGCUGUCGUCAGCUCGUGUCGUGAGAUGUUGGGUUAAGUCCCGCAACGAGCGCAACCCUUGCCUUUAGUUGCCAGCAGUUCGGCUGGGCACUCUAAAGGGACUGCCGGUGUUAAACCGGAGGAAGGUGGGGAUGACGUCAAGUCCUCAUGGCCUUUAUGACCAGGGCUACACACGUACUACAAUGGCCGAUACAAAGGGCAGCGACACUGCGAGGUGAAGCCAAUCCCGUAAAAUCGGUCUCAGUCCGGAUUGGAGUCUGCAACUCGACUCCAUGAAGUUGGAAUCGCUAGUAAUCGUGGAUCAGCAUGCCACGGUGAAUACGUUCCCGGGCCUU
Molecule: ribosomal RNA, 478 nt
Filed under: uncultured Desulfobulbus sp.
Lineage: Bacteria; Pseudomonadati; Thermodesulfobacteriota; Desulfobulbia; Desulfobulbales; Desulfobulbaceae
Description: bacterial SSU rRNA
Rfam family: Bacterial small subunit ribosomal RNA
Source: RNAcentral